Molecule: non-coding RNA, 593 nt
Organism: Arachis ipaensis
Lineage: Eukaryota; Viridiplantae; Streptophyta; Magnoliopsida; Fabales; Fabaceae
Source: RefSeq, a predicted model, not a curated record
AAUCAAUCAUUCAUACCAAAAAAAUUAAACAAAUCUAAAAAAUACUAAAAAAAAUCACUUUAUUAUUUAUUCUGCUAGGUUUUUCACCCAACCUUCAUAUCUCUUCUCGGUGCUUGUAUCUCCUUCUCGUCUUUUCAAUAGCCUCUUCUCCUGAUAAAGAAGACAAAGAAGCUUCCUUCACGGCGACCUGUCAAGGUCACCGCGUCUUUCGCGCGCGCCUCACCCAACCGCGGAGAACAUGCGUCAGAGACCGUUACCGUUUUCCUCGUUCUAGAGCGCGUUGCCGUCUUCCUCGUUCCAGAGAGCGUCGCCGUAAGAAGCAAACGCAGCCUAAUGGUGGGUGAAAGUGGAGUGACAAUAAAGCUUCAGAUGGAAAAUUUUAUAUACUAUUGCUUAAAAGUAUCAUGUUGAAUUAAAAUCAAUUUGUGAGUAAUGACUAUUAAAGUUUGUUCUCGUGAGUAAUCCAAUUUUAUACUCUUCCGGAUUAUAAAAAUGAUGUAAUCUUAUGACAUAGUAUAUUAUUACUAACAGCUGAACUCCUUUUGUCAGCGUUGCAGCAGACACAAAAAAGUUAAGUAUGAUUAUGCUACACA